GCCUAGUUAGCUUAGUUGGUAGUGCGUCUGCCUUGUAAGCGCUAGGUCGCGGGUUCGUCCCGCCCGGGGCG
Molecule: transfer RNA, 71 nt
Filed under: Diaphorina citri (Asian citrus psyllid)
Lineage: Eukaryota; Metazoa; Arthropoda; Insecta; Hemiptera; Psyllidae
Rfam family: tRNA
About the family: Transfer RNA (tRNA) molecules are approximately 80 nucleotides in length.
Source: Rfam by way of RNAcentral